This 111-nucleotide unclassified non-coding RNA is filed under the name uncultured fungus. RNAcentral describes it as "sequence contains ITS1". The record is from RNAcentral. Lineage: Eukaryota; Fungi.
UUGAUUGUGUCAUUUUAAAUGACUACCUUCUUUAUAUAUAAACCCCUGUUUAAAAAUGUUUACUAGAAUGUUUAUGUAGUCUUUUUACUACAAAAUUUGAAAGCUUUAUUA